GAACGCGCAUUGAACAAGCGAGUACGUGAUUGAACCGGUAUAGAGAGUCAACGAUAGUGAAAAGUUGAUGCGGCGACCUCACCGAAAGUAACUUGUGAGCUUUACCACUGAACGGAGUAGGUGGUGACGGAAACCACCGUUAACCGGGUUAAAGUGGGGAAGUGAUUCCCAAUUUAGGUGGUACCGCGAGUAAUCGUCCUAAUG
Molecule: non-coding RNA, 204 nt
Filed under: Furfurilactobacillus siliginis
Lineage: Bacteria; Bacillati; Bacillota; Bacilli; Lactobacillales; Lactobacillaceae
Description: Lactobacillus siliginis T-box sequence
Rfam family: T-box leader
About the family: Uncharged tRNA acts as the effector for transcription antitermination of genes in the T-box leader family. T-boxes are found upstream of many aminoacyl-tRNA synthetase genes and some amino acid biosynthetic genes usually in Gram-positive bacteria. The anticodon of a specific tRNA base pairs to a specifier sequence within the T-box motif, and the NCCA acceptor tail of the tRNA base pairs to a conserved bulge in the T-box antiterminator hairpin.
Source: RNAcentral